RNAcentral lists this ribosomal RNA (200 nucleotides) under uncultured bacterium. Its description in RNAcentral is "partial 16S ribosomal RNA". It matches the Rfam family "Bacterial small subunit ribosomal RNA", at positions 524 to 723 of the family's 1533-position model. The record is from RNAcentral.
UACGGAGGGUGCAAACGUUGUUCGGAAUCAUUGGGCGUAAAGCGCACGUAGGCGGCUUAUUAAGUCGGAUGUGAAAUCCCGGGGCUCAACCUCGGAAUGCCAUUGGAAACUGAUAAGCUUGAGAGUGAGAGGGGUUAGUGGAAUUGCUGGUGUAGGGGUGAAAUCCGUAGAGAUCAGCAGGAACACCGGUGGCGAAGGCG